RNAcentral lists this ribosomal RNA (1485 nucleotides) under Triticum aestivum (bread wheat). Its description in RNAcentral is "partial small subunit ribosomal RNA". Lineage: Eukaryota; Viridiplantae; Streptophyta; Magnoliopsida; Poales; Poaceae. The record is from RNAcentral.
AUGGCGGCGGCGGUAGCGACGGCCGGCAGCCAGGAGGACAUGCUCGGCAAGCUGCCUGACGACAUUCUUCUCUGGAUCCUAAUCCGUCUUGAUUCACAAGACGUCGUAAGCUGCAGUCGCGCAAGCAGACGGUUGAGGCACCUCCCCGGUUUGCCUCCUAUUAUUUCCCUGAGCGUGAAGGACUACAUGUACGGCCGCUACGUGCAGCACAAGGACGACGACGGGUUUGAGGCGGUUUUGUCGAUAAAGUGCAGGAACAACAAGGCUUGGAGCACCACGGCCAUGGUGCAAUCCGUCAGGAGCAUCUUGGCAGGCAAGAACCAGCUUGGGUGCGCCGCCAUCCAUCAGCUCCACCUGACCUUCUACCUGAGGGACGAGUCCAUCGACAUCGUCCGCGCCGUCGAGGGAGCCAUCGCGCGCGGCCGCGGCAUCGUCGGCAGGGCGGGGUUCACGAUGCUGGGCGAGAAGAUCACCUACACGAGCGAGGUGACGGACCUGGUCGCGCAGGGAGCGCGCCUCCUCUCCUACCUCGGCGCCUGCCCGCGCGCGUUCGCCGCGCUCACACACCUGCACGUGGAGAGCGUCAAGCUGAGGCAGCCCGACGUGUCCAACCUGCUCGACCGCUGCAAGAAGCUGAAGCACCUGUCUCUGCAGAACCUUGAUUGUGGGAAAGAGGUGGUGCUGAGGAUCCAACACCCGGAGCUCACCCAGCUGAAGCUUGUCAUGUGCUUCUGUGACAGCUUCGAGCUCAAGUGGCUUCCGGAGCUAGAGGAGCUCACCAUUGGCACCUGGUGUCCUUCCAAGCGCCGAGACCCGGUGCUGUUCGGCCAUGCUCCGCGGCUUUCCAAGCUAACGGCCUGUAACGGCUAUAAUACCAGGUGCAGGAAACUCAAGCUGAGCGAGUUUCUUCGCGACGCAAACAUGCGUGAGCUGCAUAUGAACUUCGACACCGAAAUGCCAUGGUUUCAGAUGGAGCGACCAGAGCAACUGGCUCCUCGGCUGAAAAACCUGAGGAUUCUGAAGCUCGACAACAUCAAUGAAGAAUGCAGCGUCACUUGGACACUGUUCCUGCUGGAAGCUGCGCCUCUCUUGGAGAAGCUCCACAUCAAGGUGUCGAACCACGAGUGUGAAUCCUUUGAGGAUGAGAUGCUAAGGAAACUUCUGGUCGUCGCGACAAGUAACAUCGAGUUCGAACCAUCUGACUUCAAGCAUUAUAAGCUGGCCGUGCUCACCAUCUACGGCUUUCAGCCCGGCGAUAUGUUCAUGCAGUAUAUGAGACGGGUGAUGGAAGCGGCUGUCAAUUUGGAAGAGAUAUCUCUGCAUGACCACUGGUGCGAAGAGUGCGACUUUUAUCCAUUGACAAGGUAUCCCAAGACCGACCAAGACAGAGAAUUGAUACGGGAGGAGAUCAAUAGAGGGAGGCCGUCCCCUAUGAGGACCAUCCAAGUUUUAUUCAGUGAUAACAAGUAUAGAACCGAUGAUUGA